Long non-coding RNA from Vigna angularis (adzuki bean), 2580 nucleotides. RefSeq lists it as uncharacterized. The record is from RefSeq and is a predicted model, not a curated record. The transcript has 3 exons. NCBI's taxonomy places the organism in Eukaryota, Viridiplantae, Streptophyta, Magnoliopsida, Fabales, Fabaceae.
UUGCAGUACCUUUGGGGUAGCCUUCUUCUCAUUGUUGUACCAUCUUCACCAUCUUCAAGCCAGUUCCCUUGGUGUAGUCGUCUUCUCAUUGUUGUACCAUCUUUAAGCUAGUUCCAAACUCCUUGUAUUUGCAGUCCCGUUGUUGUAGCCUUCUUCUUGUUGUUGUAUCAUCUUCAAGCUAGGUAACAUUGACUCCUCUUGCCACACUUAUUUUUAACAAUGUGCCUUUUUUCUUUUUUAAAUUUUACAUCAGAUUGAAAAUUUGUCCUAUUUGAUUUCAAUAGGCUUUUAGUGAUUGAGCUUGGUCACCGAUUUUAGCAUCCCUUAAGAUUCUUUUAUUCCCAAUGCAAAUUUUAGAUGCUUAUGAGUUGUUGCCUACAAAUAUAUUUUUGAACCUUGUAUUGAUUUGACCACCUAUAAAUAUAUUGUAUUUUUGAAAGCCCUAGAAAAUUCCUUUUAUUCAGAGUACAAAAUUCAGAUGCUUAUGAAAUUUAUUCAUGUGGAAUUGAUGGAUUUCAAUGUUGACUUUAUAUUGAAUUUAUGAAAAACAAAAAUUGCUUUUGAGCACAGUAUGACAAUUUGUGAGGCUCAUUUCGUGUGGAAAUAUGAAUUUCAAUGUGGGCUUUAUAUUGAAUUUAUGGAUAACAAAGAUUGUUUUUGAGCAUAGUAUGACGGUUUGUGAGGCUCAGUUCGUGUGGAAUUGAUGGAUUACAAUGUUGGUUUUAUAUUGAUUUUAUGGAUAAAAAAAUUGCUUAUGAGCAUAAUAUGACGUUUUGUGGGACUCAUUUUGUGUGGAAUUGAUGGAUUAAAAAGUGGGCUUUAUAUUGAAUUUAUGGAUAACAAAAAUUGCUUUUGAGCAUAAAAUGACGGUUUGUGAGGUUCAUUUCGUGUGGAAUUGAUGAAUUACAAUGUGGGCUUUAUAUUGAAUUUAUGGAUAACAAAGAUUGCUUUUGAGCAUAGUAUGACGGUUUGUGAUGGAUUACAAUGUGGGUUUUAUAUUGAUUUUAUGGAUAACAAAAAUUGCUUAUGAGCAUAAUAUGACGUUUUGUGGGGCUCAUUUCGUGUGGAAUUGAUGGAUCAAAAAGUGGGCUUUAUAUUAAAUUUAUAGAUAACAAAGAUUGCUUUUAAACAUAAAAUGACGGUUUGUAAGGCUCAUUUCGUGUGGAAUUGAUGGAUUACAAUGUGAGUUUUAUAUUGAAUUUACGGAUAACAAAGAUUGCUUUUGAGCAUAGUAUGACGGUUUGUGAUGGAUUACAAUGUGGGUUUUAUAUUGAUUUUAUGGAUAACAAAAAUUGCUUACGAGCAUAAUAUGACGUUUUGUGGGGCUCAUUUCGUGUGGAAUUGAUGGACCAAAAAGUGGGCUUUAUAUUAAAUUUAUAGAUAACAAAGAUUGCUUUUAAACAUAAAAUGACGGUUUGUAAGGCUCAUUUCGUGUGGAAUUGAUGGAUUACAAUGUGAGUUUUAUAUUGAAUUUACGGAUUACAAAGAUUGCUUUUGAGCAUAGUAUGACGGUUUGUGAGACUCAUUUUGUGUGAAAUUGAUGGAUUAAAAUGUGGGCUUUAUAUUGAAUUUAUUGAUAACAAAGAUUUUUUUUGAGCAUAGUGUGACGGUUUGUGAAGCUCAUUUCUUGUGGAAUUGAUGGAUUAAAAUGUGGGCUUUAUAUUAAAAAAUUUCAUCUCAUGGUGGGACACAGACGUGGUUUUGGAGGAAACAACCAAGUUUCCUGAACUAACUGUGCAAGUAUGUAACUGCCUUGUAAUCUUUUAAUUUUAAAAAAUAAGAUACUUAUCAGAAUUUUUAUAUGUUGAAUCAUGCUCAGGAGAAUGGCCUUAAAUGAAUUUUGGUAUUAGCUAUUAUAUAGAAGCGUUGAUAUUCUUUUAUCAACUUGUUUUCUUUGAAAUUUCUGGAGUAAUUGUAGUCAGAAACAGAACAAUGGCCUCACAAAGGUUAGCUUUUAUUUGGGAAAAGGAAGGCCCCAAAUGUCGUCAAAGCUCUCUCAAAAUGUCUAGAGAAACAUGGGGUGUGAUUAUAGUUCAUAAUGGUAGAAAUUUGUCUACUUCAUUUGAAAGCUUUGCCUGCAAAUAAUUUUUUUGAUAGGUUGGUAAGACUCUCUUGCCAUCCUUUCUCAUUUGUAAAAACAAACAACUGAUAAGUAUACAUCGAUAUCUAGUUGAUUGGAUUUGUCUUGAUCUAAUAUUUUAUUGAAAAUAAUUUAUAGCAAUGGUAUUGCUUUGGAUGUAUUACCCCAAGUUGCUAGAAAAGGAAGGGCACUUGCUUUUCUAAUUGAAAAACUAAAUGUUGACGGACUUGGACCAUGCUACACUCUUGGUUGUGGUUUUUCUCUGUGUUAAUUGGUUUCUUCAUGAAUAAAUUAUCAUUGAUGUUGUGUGUUCCUGCUUAUUUUGAUUUGAUAAGAUCUCUUUGAAACUGGUAGAAGAGCUAUGAACUUGGUACAAGAGCUAGGAAGUUAUAAAGGCUGUUCGGAUUGAGUUUUGAGCUUUUCCAUUUUUGUCUCAACAUUGUUUUAACUGCCAAUUCUGGUUAUCUGACUGAAUGAAUUAAAUGCAUAAUUUUUUAUCA